CCUUGUACACACCGCCCCGUCAAGCCAUGGGAGUGGGUUAUACCAGAAGUAGGUAGACUAACCGCAAGGGGGUCGCUUACCACGGUAUGAUUCAGUGACGUGGGGCU
RNAcentral lists this ribosomal RNA (107 nucleotides) under uncultured bacterium. Its description in RNAcentral is "partial 16S ribosomal RNA". It matches the Rfam family "Bacterial small subunit ribosomal RNA", at positions 1379 to 1482 of the family's 1533-position model. The record is from RNAcentral.